GAUGAACGCUGGCGGCGUGCCUAAUACAUGCAAGUCGAACGAGUUCUCGUUGAUGAUCGGUGCUUGCACCGAGAUUCAACAUGGAACGAGUGGCGGACGGGUGAGUAACACGUGGGUAACCUGCCCUUAAGUGGGGGAUAACAUUUGGAAACAGAUGCUAAUACCGCAUAGAUCCAAGAACCGCAUGGUUCUUGGCUGAAAGAUGGCGUAAGCUAUCGCUUUUGGAUGGACCCGCGGCGUAUUAGCUAGUUGGUGAGGUAAUGGCUCACCAAGGCGAUGAUACGUAGCCGAACUGAGAGGUUGAUCGGCCACAUUGGGACUGAGACACGGCCCAAACUCCUACGGGAGGCAGCAGUAGGGAAUCUUCCACAAUGGACGCAAGUCUGAUGGAGCAACGCCGCGUGAGUGAAGAAGGCUUUCGGGUCGUAAAACUCUGUUGUUGGAGAAGAAUGGUCGGCAGAGUAACUGUUGUCGGCGUGACGGUAUCCAACCAGAAAGCCACGGCUAACUACGUGCCAGCAGCCGCGGUAAUACGUAGGUGGCAAGCGUUAUCCGGAUUUAUUGGGCGUAAAGCGAGCGCAGGCGGUUUUUUAAGUCUGAUGUGAAAGCCCUCGGCUUAACCGAGGAAGCGCAUCGGAAACUGGGAAACUUGAGUGCAGAAGAGGACAGUGGAACUCCAUGUGUAGCGGUGAAAUGCGUAGAUAUAUGGAAGAACACCAGUGGCGAAGGCGGCUGUCUGGUCUGUAACUGACGCUGAGGCUCGAAAGCAUGGGUAGCGAACAGGAUUAGAUACCCUGGUAGUCCAUGCCGUAAACGAUGAAUGCUAGGUGUUGGAGGGUUUCCGCCCUUCAGUGCCGCAGCUAACGCAUUAAGCAUUCCGCCUGGGGAGUACAACCGCAAGGUUGAAACUCAAAGGAAUUGACGGGGGCCCGCACAAGCGGUGGAGCAUGUGGUUUAAUUCGAAGCAACGCGAAGAACCUUACCAGGUCUUGACAUCUUUUGAUCACCUGAGAGAUCAGGUUUCCCCUUCGGGGGCAAAAUGACAGGUGGUGCAUGGUUGUCGUCAGCUCGUGUCGUGAGAUGUUGGGUUAAGUCCCGCAACGAGCGCAACCCUUAUGACUAGUUGCCAGCAUUUAGUUGAGCACUCUAGUAAGACUGCCGGUGACAAACCGGAGGAAGGUGGGGAUGACGUCAAAUCAUCAUGCCCCUUAUGACCUGGGCUACACACGUGCUACAAUGGAUGGUACAACGAGUUGCGAGACCGCGAGGUCAAGCUAAUCUCUUAAAGCCAUUCUCAGUUCGGACUGUAGGCUGCAACUCGCCUACACGAAGUCGGAAUCGCUAGUAAUCGCGGAUCAGCACGCCGCGGUGAAUACGUUCCCGGGCCUUGUACACACCGCCCGUCACACCAUGAGAGUUUGUAACACCCGAAGCCGGUGGCGUAACCCUUUUAGGGAGCGAGCCGUCUAAGGUGGGACAAAUGAUUAGGGUG
This 1492-nucleotide ribosomal RNA is filed under the name Lacticaseibacillus paracasei. RNAcentral describes it as "bacterial SSU rRNA". It matches the Rfam family "Bacterial small subunit ribosomal RNA". The record is from RNAcentral. Lineage: Bacteria; Bacillati; Bacillota; Bacilli; Lactobacillales; Lactobacillaceae.